AUUGAACGCUGGCGGAAUGCUUUACACAUGCAAGUCGAACGGCAGCACGGCCUCCGGUCUGCUGGCGAGUGGCGAACGGGAGAGUAAUGUAGCGGAACGUGCCCGGUCGUCGGGGAUAGCGUAGUGAAAAUGAUGCUAAUACCGCAUACGCUCUAUGGAUGAUAUCGGGGGGUGGCAAGACCUCGCGCGAUUGGAUGGGCCGAUAGAAGAUUAGGUAGUUGGUGGGGUAAAGGCCUACCAAGCCAACGAGCUGUAGAUGGUCUGAGAGGACGACCAGCCAUACUGGAACUGAGACACGGUCCAGACGCCUAGGGGAGGAAGCGGUGGGGAAGUUGGGACAAUGGGCGAAAGCCUGAUCCAGUCAUUCCGCGUGCAGGAUGAAGGCCCUCGGGUUGUAAACUGCUUUUGUACAGAACGCAAAGGUUUCUACUAAUACUAGCAGCUCAUGACGGUACUGUAAGAAUAAGCACCGGCUAACUACGUGCCAGCCGCCGCCGUAA
RNAcentral lists this ribosomal RNA (500 nucleotides) under uncultured bacterium. Its description in RNAcentral is "partial 16S ribosomal RNA". It matches the Rfam family "Bacterial small subunit ribosomal RNA", at positions 30 to 523 of the family's 1533-position model. The record is from RNAcentral.